Molecule: ribosomal RNA, 497 nt
Filed under: uncultured bacterium
Lineage: Bacteria
Description: partial 16S ribosomal RNA
Rfam family: Bacterial small subunit ribosomal RNA
Source: RNAcentral
GAUGAACGCUGGCGGCGUGCCUAAUACAUGCAAGUCGAGCGAACGGACGAGAAGCUUGCUUUUCUGAUGUUAGCGGCGGACGGGUGAGUAACACAUGGAUAACCUACCUAUAAGACUGGGAUAACUUCGGGAAACCGGAGCUAAUACCGGAUAAUAUUUUGAACCGCAUGGUUCAAAAGUGAAAGACGGUCUUGCUGUCACUUAUAGAUGGAUCCGCGCUGCAUUAGCUAGUUGGUAAGGUAACGGCUUACCAAGGCAACGAUGCAUAGCCGACCUGAGAGGGUGAUCGGCCACACUGGAACUGAGACACGGUCCAGACUCCUACGGGAGGCAGCAGUAGGGAAUCUUCCGCAAUGGGCGAAAGCCUGACGGAGCAACGCCGCGUGAGUGAUGAAGGUCUUCGGAUCGUAAAACUCUGUUAUUAGGGAAGAACACAUGUGUAAGUAACUGUGCACAUCUUGACGGUACCUAAUCAGAAAGCCACGGCUAACUACGUG